UGGGGCAUCGUCUAAUGGUAGGACAGCGGUUUUUGGUGCCGCUAGUAGGGGUUCGACUCCCUUUGCCCCAGCCA
RNAcentral lists this transfer RNA (74 nucleotides) under Coriobacteriales bacterium. RNAcentral describes it as "tRNA-Gln". It matches the Rfam family "tRNA". From Rfam's summary of the family: Transfer RNA (tRNA) molecules are approximately 80 nucleotides in length. Their secondary structure includes four short double-helical elements and three loops (D, anti-codon, and T loops). Lineage: Bacteria; Bacillati; Actinomycetota; Coriobacteriia; Coriobacteriales. The record is from RNAcentral.